Molecule: transfer RNA, 77 nt
Filed under: Campylobacter jejuni
Lineage: Bacteria; Pseudomonadati; Campylobacterota; Epsilonproteobacteria; Campylobacterales; Campylobacteraceae
Description: tRNA-Gly
Rfam family: tRNA
About the family: Transfer RNA (tRNA) molecules are approximately 80 nucleotides in length. Their secondary structure includes four short double-helical elements and three loops (D, anti-codon, and T loops). Further hydrogen bonds mediate the characteristic L-shaped molecular structure. tRNAs have two regions of fundamental functional importance: the anti-codon, which is responsible for specific mRNA codon recognition, and the 3' end, to which the tRNAs corresponding amino acid is attached (by aminoacyl-tRNA synthetases). tRNAs cope with the degeneracy of the genetic code in two manners: having more than one tRNA (with a specific anti-codon) for a particular amino acid; and 'wobble' base-pairing, i.e. permitting non-standard base-pairing at the 3rd anti-codon position.
Source: RNAcentral
GCGGGAGUAGCUCAGUUGGCUAGAGCAUCAGCCUUCCAAGCUGAGGGUCGCGGGUUCGAGUCCCUUAACCAGCUCCA